This 284-nucleotide ribosomal RNA is filed under the name uncultured bacterium. RNAcentral describes it as "partial 16S ribosomal RNA". It matches the Rfam family "Bacterial small subunit ribosomal RNA", at positions 334 to 632 of the family's 1533-position model. The record is from RNAcentral.
AAUACCUACGGGACGCAGCAGUGGGGAAUAUUGGGCAAUGGGCGCAAGCCUGACCCAGCAACGCCGCGUGAAGGAAGAAGGCUGUCGGGUUGUAAACUUCUUUUCUCAGGGACGAAGCAAGUGACGGUACCUGAGGAAUAAGCCACGGCUAACUACGUGCCAGCAGCCGCGGUAAUACGUAGGUGGCAAGCGUUAUCCGGAUUUACUGGGUGUAAAGGGCGUGUAGGCGGGAAAGCAAGUCAGAUGUGAAAACCACGGGCUUAACCUGUGGCCUGCGUUUGAAA